GAGAGAGACAUGCGCGCAUAUCAAUAAGGCGGAGGAAAAGAAACUAACAAGGAUUCCCCUAGUAACGGCGAGUGAAGCGGGAAGAGCUCAAAUUUGAAAUCUUAAAGGGUUUCCCUUUACGAAUUGUAGUUUAAAGAAGUGUUUUCUGUUGAGGUUUUGGUAAAAGUUCUUUGGAAUAGGACAUCAUAGAGGGUGAGAAUCCCGUAUUUGACCUUUACUUUCAACUUUGUGAUACACUUUCAAAGAGUCGGAUUGUUUGGGAAUGCAGUCCAAAAUGGGUGGUAAAUUUCAUCUAAAGCUAAAUAUUGGCGAGAGACCGAUAGCGAACAAGUACCGUGAGGGAAAGAUGAAAAGAACUUUGAAAAGAGAGUUAAACAGUACGUGAAAUUGUCAAAAGGGAAGCGUUUGACACCAGUGUUGUUUUUCUGAAAAUCAAUUAAAGAACUGUUUAUGCUAAGUUGUUUAGACUUUAUCAGCUAUCUGCUUAGUUUUGAGCUUUUCUUUAAUGCACUUUUCAGUUAACAAGUCAACAUCAAUUUCUUUUGCUGUAAAAAAGCUUGAGGAAGGUGGCUUGAGAUUCGUCUUAAGUGUUUAUAGCCUCUUGCCUAUGCAGUCGGAGAGAUUGAGGUCUGCAGCGUAGAUCCUUCGGGGCUAAAUGCAUUUGUGCUAAGUUAUAGCAUUUUAUAGACAACUUGUUGACUAUGAUUUGUCUUGUAGCUUACUCGCUUAUGUUAUUUUACCUACGCUUAGGAUGUUGACGCAUGAGAUAUACGC
This 774-nucleotide ribosomal RNA is filed under the name uncultured Neocallimastigales. Its description in RNAcentral is "partial large subunit ribosomal RNA". It matches the Rfam family "Eukaryotic large subunit ribosomal RNA", at positions 1 to 647 of the family's 3401-position model. The record is from RNAcentral. Lineage: Eukaryota; Fungi; Neocallimastigomycota; Neocallimastigomycetes; Neocallimastigales.